GCAUAUCAACUAAGCGGAGGAAAAAGAAACCAACAGGGGAUUGCCCCAGUAACGGCGAGUGAAGCGGCAACAGCUCAAAUUUGAAAUCUGGCCCCCAGGGCCCGAGUUGUAAUUUGUAGAGGAUGCUUUUGGCGCGGUGCCUUCCGAGUUCCCUGGAACGGGACGCCAUAGAGGGUGAGAGCCCCGUCUGGUUGGACACCUAGCCUCUGUAAAGCUCCUUCGACGAGUCGAGUAGUUUGGGAAUGCUGCUCUAAAUGGGAGGUAUAUGUCUUCUAAAGCUAAAUACCGGCCAGAGACCGAUAGCGCACAAGUAGAGUGAUCGAAAGAUGAAAAGCACUUUGAAAAGAGGGUUAAAUAGUACGUGAAAUUGUUGAAAGGGAAGCGUUUGUGACCAGACUUGGGCCCGGUUGAUCAUCCACCGUUCUCGGUGGUGCACUCUGCCGGCCCAGGCCAGCAUCAGUUCGCGCCGGGGGAUAAAGGCUUCGGGAAUGUGGCUCCUCCGGGAGUGUUAUAGCCCGUUGUGUAAUACCCUGGUGCGGACUGAGGUUCGCGCUCCGCAAGGAUGCUGGCGUAAUGGUCAUCAGCGACCCGUCUUGAAACACGGACCAAGGAGUCGUCUUCGUAUGCGAGUGUUCGGGUGUCAAACCCCUACGCGUAAUGAAAGUGAACGCAGGUGAGAGCUUCGGCGCAUCAUCGACCGAUCCUGAUGUUCUCGGAUGGAUUUGAGUAAGAGCAUACGGGGCCGGACCCGAAAGAAGGUGAACUAUGCCUGUAUAGGGUGAAGCCAGAGGAAACUCUGGUGGAGGCUCGCAGCGGUUCUGACGUGCAAAUCGAUCGUCAAAUAUGGGGCAUGGGGGCGAAAGACUAAUCGAAUCUUCUAGUAGCUGGG
This 889-nucleotide ribosomal RNA is filed under the name Niesslia tenuis. RNAcentral describes it as "partial large subunit ribosomal RNA". It matches the Rfam family "Eukaryotic large subunit ribosomal RNA", at positions 38 to 955 of the family's 3401-position model. The record is from RNAcentral. Lineage: Eukaryota; Fungi; Ascomycota; Sordariomycetes; Hypocreales; Niessliaceae.